CAGCCGCCGCGGUAAUACGAAGGGGGCUAGCGUUGUUCGGAUUUACUGGGCGUAAAGGGCGCGUAGGCGGACUGAUAAGUCAGGGGUGAAAUCCCAAGGCUCAACCUUGGAACUGCCUUUGAUACUGUCUGUCUUGAGUUCGAGAGAGGUAAGUGGAACUGCGAGUGUAGAGGUGAAAUUCGUAGAUAUUCGCAAGAACACCAGUGGCGAAGGCGGCUUACUGGCUCGAAACUGACGCUGAGGCGCGAAAGCGUGGGGAGCAAACAGGAUUAGAGACCCCUGUAGUCCCUGUCUCUUAUAC
RNAcentral lists this ribosomal RNA (301 nucleotides) under uncultured bacterium. RNAcentral describes it as "partial 16S ribosomal RNA". It matches the Rfam family "Bacterial small subunit ribosomal RNA", at positions 509 to 807 of the family's 1533-position model. The record is from RNAcentral.